Molecule: ribosomal RNA, 154 nt
Filed under: Anzia colpodes
Lineage: Eukaryota; Fungi; Ascomycota; Lecanoromycetes; Lecanorales; Parmeliaceae
Description: 5.8S ribosomal RNA
Rfam family: 5.8S ribosomal RNA
About the family: 5.8S ribosomal RNA (5.8S rRNA) is a component of the large subunit of the eukaryotic ribosome. It is transcribed by RNA polymerase I as part of the 45S precursor that also contains 18S and 28S rRNA.
Source: RNAcentral
CUUUCAACAACGGAUCUCUUGGUUCCAGCAUCGAUGAAGAACGCAGCGAAAUGCGAUAACUAAUGUGAAUUGCAGAAUUCAGUGAAUCAUCGAGUCUUUGAACGCACAUUGCGCCCCUCGGUAUUCCGGGGGGCAUGCCUGUCCGAGCGUCAUU